GGUGGCCGUGGAAACCAAUCCAUGAACCAUUCCGUCACUCUGCCAGACUGUCCGCCGGGCAAGGCGUCCCCUCCAGAUCCGCCUGCGAGGCGAUUGCCCCUUAAGCAAGCGAGGGAAGGAGGCUGUCAGCCGAGUAAUGGCUUGAACAACUCCCAAAUUGUCGCAGUGAAACACUACCCUUAGAUCCUGAAACGUGACUGCCAGACCUCCCCCA
Molecule: non-coding RNA, 214 nt
Organism: Pelobates cultripes (western spadefoot toad)
Lineage: Eukaryota; Metazoa; Chordata; Amphibia; Anura; Pelobatidae
Source: the annotation of a GenBank genome assembly